This 351-nucleotide ribosomal RNA is filed under the name uncultured bacterium. RNAcentral's name for it is "bacterial SSU rRNA". It matches the Rfam family "Bacterial small subunit ribosomal RNA", at positions 1155 to 1504 of the family's 1533-position model. The record is from RNAcentral.
GCGUCAAGCCGGAGGAAGGUGGGGACGACGUCAAGUCAUCAUGCCCCUUAUGUCCUGGGCUGCACACGUGCUACAAUGACCGGCACAAUGGGCUGCCACUGCGCGAGCAGGAGCGAAUCCCCAAAGCCGGCCCCAGUUCGGAUUGGAGGCUGCAACCCGCCUCCAUGAAGUCGGAGUUGCUAGUAAUCGCGGAUCAGCACGCCGCGGUGAAUGCGUUCCCGGGCCUUGUACACACCGCCCGUCACACCACCCGAGUCGUCUGCACCCGAAGUCGUCGGCCCAACCCGCAAGGGAGGGAGGCGCCGAAGGUGUGGAGGGUAAGGGGGGUGAAGUCGUAACAAGGUAACCGUA